RNAcentral lists this ribosomal RNA (253 nucleotides) under uncultured bacterium. RNAcentral describes it as "partial 16S ribosomal RNA". It matches the Rfam family "Archaeal small subunit ribosomal RNA", at positions 474 to 727 of the family's 1478-position model. The record is from RNAcentral.
UACCAGUACCCCGAGUGGUCGGGACGUUUAUUGGGCCUAAAGCAUCCGUAGCCGGUUCUACAAGUCUUCCGUUAAAUCCAACUGCUUAACAGGUGGGCUGCGGAAGAUACUAUAGAGCUAGGAGGCGGGAGAGGCAAGCGGUACUCGAUGGGUAGGGGUAAAAUCCGUUGAUCCAUUGAAGACCACCAGUGGCGAAGGCGGCUUGCCAGAACGCGCUCGACGGUGAGGGAUGAAAGCUGGGGGAGCAAACCGG